UGUUUGACUUCUUUGAAAUAAAGAUAAAUGGACUGUCUUCUAAGUUUGAAGAAUAUGAGCUUAAUGAAUCUCAUUAUAUCUCUUGUCCAUUGUAAAUUCUGACCCUGAGUUUCAUUAAUUUCACAUCUCAUCUUAAUUAAGCUGUAACUUUUCUAAUUCUUAGAUGAAGUUAAAAUUCUAUCUUUGCAAUUUCUAUGUUUUACAGGGGAAUUUGUACAAAUGAAAACCAGUAAACUAAUUUUAAUAAAACAGGACUUACUUGCGAAGUUUACCUUCUACUACCCAUUUAUCUCUCCUCAGGUUUGACAUAUAAUCAAUGUUCUUGUCAAUUUCACUGUCAAUGCAAAAAUCCAUUAGAAGACAUAAAUUAAUCAAUUAUGUGACACUUUGAUAAUUGGAUUUGGUAAUAAGCAAAUUGAUAGUUUUUCAGUUAGUAAAAAUAAUGAUUGCCUAUGAAUAGCAAAAAUAAUUGAAAAUUAUAUUAAUAUAUUAUCAUAGCUUAGAGACAUAGAGAAAACUUAAGAUGUCCAAUAAUAGUAGAAAUGCAUGGCUCCAAAAUAUUUUGAUUGAUCCUUUUCAUACAAAGGUAAAAGACUAAAACUAACAUAUUUAAAUCUGUAAAUAACAAAUAGCAAGAACAAGAUGAACAUGGAUUCAUUCACCAAAUCUUGAAAUACUAGAGUGGAGAACUUACUUUGACUGUUGAAUGAGGUUAAGUACUUUAAAAAAAAGCACAAAUAAAUUGAUAAACUAAAAUUAUUAAUAUUGAAUUAGCACAUAAUAAAAUAAAAAGUAGCCAGGUAAUUCUAGGAAUGCCUUACUAAGGAAAAUCAGGUAGUCAUCUAUGAUUGAAAGAUGUCAAAAAAAGAAAAAUUCUGGAUUCUUUCAUUGGUGCUGGAUUCUGGCACCACAGCAAAAAUAAAAAAGCAAAACAAAACAUUUUUACAUUUCCAUAUAUAAUUAACAAAAUUAUUAUAUAAACAAAAGACUAUAUUUAUAGUCUUUUAAAUAUAGUUUAAAAUAAAUAUAGUUUAUUAUAUAAACAAAGACUAUAUUCAGUAUGAUCCCAAUUUUUUAAUAGACUUCAAAGAAAUACAUUAAGAUAUUAUUAGCAGUAAUUAUCUCUGAAUGGUAAGAUUAACUGUAAUUGUUUUCUUUGUGUUACUCUGUAAUUUCAAACUUUCUGUAAAAAAAUUUGUAUUACUUUGUGAUUAGACAAACUCAAAACAGAAAAGAAUCACCAACAGAAAAGUCUGGGUAUAUGCUUACCUCACCACACUCUUACUGCAUGCCAGUUCAUUGAUCAGGAAAGCCAAGACUGAGGCUUUCUGUGCUGGAGUAUGAGCCUGAAAAGCUUUGGUUUUCAGGCUUUCCGUAAGCUCAGUUUGUCCACAAUGGGCUUCCAUAAAAAUCUGCAAGAUCUCGGAAACAUUGUCUCGGUUCACACCAACAUUCAGCAAAUGUUCUCCAAGAGCUGUUUUGGCCUAUAAAAGUUUGGCAUUUUUAUCAGUAUUGAUCGUAGCCAUUCGUAACAUAAAAACAGUAAGAUUUAAAAAUAUCGAUAUCACAUGAUAUAGAUAUUACUGACAAGGACUUUAUUCACAUUCGAUCAGUAGCUCUGUGGGGAGUAGGUUCCAGAGCACUAGUACUGUGGUGUCACGGGUUCUACUGCCUGCUAUACUGAAUGGAUAGGGAAAUGGAGGAGUAAUUAACAGGCACAUCUGGGAGCUUCUCACUGUACAACAUAUCAAAUGUGUAUCUUAGUUGAAAUUAAGAUAAAUUUUAAUGUAUUGGGUAUCCACUGAGCACUACAGAGUUUUCAUGUGCUGGUCUGUAGAUGCUUUGAUUAGCCUGAGUUAUUCACAGUGAUUCAGAGAGAAUACAGUAUAGUUUUGGAAAGCACGCAUAAGUUCUAAUUGCUUUAUGAAUUAUGAAUCCUGUUUUGUUUAAUAUCACAUGGGUAUUUCCUUAAGUCAACUUGGUUUUUGCUGUCAGCUAGAGAAAAAGAGGAAUUUGGGAAUGAUCUAUAUUCCUUAGGUUCUGUGAAUCAGAUUUUUCUAGGUUUGUACCAAUUUAACCUGAAGCAAAUCUACAUUUAACUCGGUGAGACAUGUGGAAAAAAACUGGAUCAGUCUAUACAACCUUCUGCUAAUAUGCUAACACCAGCUAACAAUUCACGGAUAGUACAAAUUUUAAAAAAAUUUAUAUUUUGUUUUUUUUUACCUUGUAUCCUGUAAUUAGACCUGGAUCACAUACAGCAGCUGAGAGGAGCCUCACAAGCAAGUCUUGUACUUCACCCAUGCUGUCCCCUAUAUUUAGCAAUCCCUCUUGAAGAACACUCAGGUUUGGAACAUCAAUAUUCACAUCAAAGCCCAAAACUUUACCAAAGUUUCGUAAGAACUGCACCACCAUGAGACAGUCUGAAAAUGUACUUCCAGAGAGAACAAGUCCUGGAAUACGAGGCAAAUCUGGCAAAGGCUGAAAAUAAAAUAAAAUAAAAUAAAUAAUAAAUAAUUUAAAAGCCAUGGUUUUAUAUCUUCUGAGGUAAAACAGGUUGCUAUCUUUCUUUUUCCUGUAUUAUACCAUUGAUUUUCCCUCUGGAUUUUAAAUCCCCUGGGGGCAUUUCUACAACCCCAUGGUAUUAAGUAUAGAUAGGUUCUUGACUGCAAGUAACCAACAAUAAAUUUUGGUUGAACUCAACAUGAACUUAGAUUUCUGCAAAAGAGAACACUAACUUUAAUUAACUUACAUAUUUAUAAAACAUAGUUUAUAUAGCUGGAGGAAAAAUUAGAUAACAUAAGGAACAAUUUGGGGGUGCCUGGGUGGCUCAGUCGGUUAAGCAACUUACUCUUGAUCAUGGCUUAGGUCAUGAUCUCAUGAUUCAUGGGUUUGAGCCCUGCAUCAGGCUCUGUGCUGAAAGCAUUGAGCCUACCUGGGAUUCUCUCUCUCUCUCUGCACCCCCUCCCCCCACUUGCUCUCUUUCUCUCUCAGAACAAAUAAAAAUAAACUUAAAAAAAAAAGAAACAUUUAAUUCAGAGACUUUUUUCUUGAACCUUAUCAUACACACACAUUUCCAUAUGAUUCUAAAAAUGUAUAUGACAAAGCUAACAAAAGUAAGGCUUAAAAUGAACAUAUAUUUGAUACAGUGCAUAUGGAUUUAAAUAAAAAGAAAGAUGCAGAAAGAUAAAGCUCAUUUGAUGUUAAAAAAUAUUUACUCACUAUGAAGCUUAUUAAAUCUGUUAACUACUGUAUAUUCCCAUUCUGGGCUUAGGAAAUUUUCAACAGCCAACUGAGUAAACCUAGUAUGUAUACUUUCACUUUUAUUUACAAGCAUUUAUGCUAAGUAAAUAAAUAGAAUAUUAAUACAAUUAAAUCCUCACUAGAGUGUUAAAAGUUUGCUUUAAGCACUUUAUUUUGUUUUUGUUUUUAGUUUUUUUUUUUAUAUUUAUUUAUCUUUGAGAGAGAGACACAGUGCUAGUGGAGGACAGGCAGAGAGAGAGGGAGGCACAGAAUCCAAAGCAGGCUCCAGGCUCUGAGCUGUCAGCACAGGGGCCAAACUCAUGAACCGUGAGAUCAUGACCUGAGCCAAAGUCAGUCACUUAACUGACUAAGGCACCCAGGCGCCCCACUUUAAGCACUUGAGAAGAGAGCCUGCACAAAUCAAGAGACAAUCAUUAUUUGUAUAUCAGAUGACUAUGGCAUAUAAGUAAAUAUAGAUGCUAUUGAUCAAGUAUAAUAGUAUUAAGAUAAUAUUGUAGAGAUGAUAUGCAGUAUCGAUAUAAUUCUCUAGAAAUACCAUCUUCUUAGCUAUAGUCAAACAAAAUGGAUCUCUAUUCAUAAACAUGUGAAAUCAUGCCCGAUACCAAGAUUAUUUUGCUCUUUCCACAUGUUUACUUAUAUAUGUUUACUUUAUUAUAUAUAUAUGAAUAUAUUUUAGCCACAUUACAUGUCUGUGAAGCAUGAUAGAGGAGAAAACACAUAUGAGGUAUUUUGGCUGGAUAUACUUCCUGGCUUUCAGUGUAAUAAACAGUAUGAACUCUGGAAUUGAACAAACUAGAGACUGAAUCCAAGUUGCCAUUUAUUAGCAAGUUUGAUCUUGGGCAAGUUCCUUAACCUCUUUGUGUCUCAGUUUUCCCAUCUGUAAAUGGCCAUAAUAAAUACCAGUUCCACAGGACUAUGGUGAGGAUUAAAUGAGAGAAUUUAUAAAGCACUUAGCACACUGCCUGGCAUGUAGCAAACAUACUCAAAAGUUAGCUAUAAUUACUAAAGCAUUGAAGGAGAUUAUAGAUUAUAAACCUUAGUUUAUGUAAAUAUCUAUAGGGGCGUGGUGAGGAGUUAGAGAUUUCUGUACCUAAAUGCCUGGAAAGAAUCAAAUGACACAUAGAAAUCCUAUCUACUUCUAUAAUUCAUCUUUACGGAUUUCUUCAGUAUUUCUACUUAAAUUUAAAAAGGUUUAGGGGAGCCUGGGUGACUCGGUGGGUUAAGUGUCCAAUUCUUGGUUUGGGAUCAGGUCAUGAUCUCAUGGUUUGUGAGUUCAAGCCCACCUCAGGGAUUCUCUCUCUCCGUUUCUCUGCCCCUCCCUGGUGCAUGCUCUCUCUCUCUCUCUCUCAAAAUACAUAAACCUACAAAAAUAGAAAUAAAAAGAUUUACAGUGUUCCAUUUACGUACUAAGAAGUACCAUUAUUAGCAUAGGAGCUCUAGAGAGGUUUAUUGGUGGCCAUCCAGGAAACACAGAUUGACCUAGACAUGGAAAUGUACGGCUCUGGUUAAAAACAAAAGGCUUUCAUAAUGGCAACUCUGGCAAAGGAAUCAGGUGAGAUACAGAAAAAUUAAAUUUAUUAAUGAAAUGGUUACAUAAUAAAUUACCUUUUGGUCUGCUAAGCACAUGUCUUCAUUAGGCUUCUUUAGUUCCUUUGCCAUUUCUAAUUCUAAUCUUCGUUGCUCCAGUUUACGCUCUUUAUUUAAUCUUUUCUCAUCACGUUUUUCUUGCUUCAGCCGUUCUUUUUCCUUAAAAAUAAAACCAUGUCCAAAAGUCUCUUUAAUCACUGGAUGUGUCUGAAAAAUCUCCAGUUAACAUUUAAAAAGUUAACAAAGUGUUAUUAUUUCCACAAACAGAAUUCCCCUAAGAGAUUUAGGAAUAGACUUUGAACUACAUAGAAACAAUGACUUAUUUUGCUUUUUAGUGUUUUCACCCUUUGAAUUUCAAAUAGUCUUAUGACUGUGUGUGUGUGUGUGUGUGUGUGUGUGUGUGUGUUUAUAUUAUCGAUACUAGUUUAACUCAGAUUAUUCCAUUAUUCAGAAUUUAUUCAAUCCUUCCCCAGGUUACAAUAAGAGAAUGAAAUACUUAUUAAUAAGAGCAGAUAUAUAAAAUGCACAUGGCUAAAUAAAUAAAAAAAUAUGGUUAGUUAGUAUUAAUACAAGUUUUUGUGUAGCUCUAGGAAGCAAGGGAGGAUUUACAGCAUGAAAGCAGAAGCAACAUGCUUGAAUUGCAAAAGCAGUUCUUUCAAAGUGCAUUAGCUAGUCUUAAGAUAGCACCUGUAACAAAAUCAAAAUAUUAUUUGCCACUAUAAACAACACUUAAGGGAAUGUAAAAUGGAUUCUGAAGGCAAUGCCAAAAGCAUUCAAAAAAUAUUUUCAGUAAUGACAAUAAUAUGGAAAUAACUGUCCUGUCUCCCUGUUGUAGGAGAUGACACUCUGCUGGAAGAAGAAGUCACGAUAUUUUCUUUAAUAGUAUUAGUGUCAUUAUUUUAUUGCCAUGCCUCAAAUACAAUUCUUAUUUAGAGGAGAAAUAACAGUAGAAUCAUCAGGCGGUUCUAACCUACUACCUCACACAUUUGACACAUUAAUGAUGGGUUUACUUUUGUAAAGCAGGUCCUGUCUCUUUCUUGAUUAAAAAUCUUUCAAUUUUGUUUUUAAUUUUUAACAAAAUAAAGUCCAACUCUUUACUUUUGGCGCCCCUCUUUACUUUUGAAUUAAAACUCUUCUUUUUCAAUCUUAUCUCCCAUUUUUGUAGUUUAUGUGGAUUUAGUCCAACUAUUUGCUAUUCCUGAUGAACAUCUUGUUUCCUUACCUUCUUAUAUUGGUGCGCUCCAAUCAGGAAGGUCAUUACUCCCACCUAGUGGAUCUGAAUCCUAGUUAAACACUACCACCUCUUCUCUAUUAUCAAUUUAUCUUAAUUCUCAUAGCCCAACCUAUAAUUUUAACAUUGCACUUAUUGCUUCUUAUUCUAUAGUAGCAUUUUUGCCCAUAUUCUAGCUAUCUCUGUUUCCAUUAUCAUGGCUAAGACAGCACAUUGAGUGCUAUGCCACAAGGAAUAGGGGUAGGUGGGGGACAGAGAGGACUGGAGAGGAUAUAUUCCAGGCAGAGUAGAGAAAGCACAGUGUGUCUGAGAAAUUGCUAGUAGUUUCCAGGGUGGAGUGUAGGUUGCAGGUUGAACAGGUGCUGAGUAUCAUGAUACAGAGCCAGAGGCUGGGUCAUGAGAGCCUUUUUAUAUGAUAUGCUCACGUCACUGCUCAUUUUUAUACUGCCUCUAAAUUUCUGGGUUACUGGUUCAAGCAGGCAUUUGGAAGGAAAAUGUUAAGGAAGCUACUCUGUGAGAUUAUUGACACCAAAAAAGCACUACAACUAAUCUUAUUGAUUAUAACUAAAAGUUUCUGAGGCUCUAAUGACAUAAAAUAUACACAAUUAACAUGCAACAUUCCCACAAUGCAGUAUAGAUUUUUCAAAUCAAAUUAUCAUUGGUAGAACAAUUUUUUCCCAGAGUUGGAUUUUCAAUUUAUAAACGCAUGAAAUGUUGCUCUAAGAAUUUUUCCAGGGAAGGGAAAACUUUUUGGUCACUCAACAGAAUAAUGAAUUAUAAUCACCAACAGAAAAAACAAAUGUCUCAUAGAUUUCAAAGUGGCUGGUGUAAAAUUUUCUACUAUAUAGGACUAACCCAGAAUUCUAAUCAUUAAGAAUCUUAAUGAUGUUCAUAACAGUAAUUACAAAACUAAAAAUUGAGACUAAAAUUCACUAAAAACUGUUGAAAAUGGUCACCAUUUCUUUUCAAAAAGAGAGAAAGGGCAUGUGUGACACUAAUGCUCUCUUUGUUGUGCCAACUUCACAUUGGUGGCAAUCUGGGGGUAUGUAACACUUCAAUGAUACAUCAACAAUGAGUUAAAGCACAUUUCCUGUCAUGAGGUAAAUAUGCUUGACAUUCUUGAAUACCAGUUUUAGCUAGUGAUAGGCAGUAUUUUUUCCAGUUAAAAGCAUGGCUAUAAUAUGGAAUAGAGAGUAAAAUGACAUCAAUUUUUAAGAUAAAACAGAGCUUUCCAAGAAAUCUUAGAAAUUUGUAGGACCUUUAUUACUUAAAGACAGGUAUCCAUUCUUAUCUUGAAGUAUUAGGGAUACUUCUCAGGAAAGAUGAAGUUUCUAAAUGCAAUGAAUUUGGUGAAUUUACUCAUUAAUUUAUUUAAUGAACCUUAAUGAACUGUAUAAGACUAAUAUAAAUCCUGUGGUUCAGAUACAAGAUAACUUUCAAAGAACUAGAGCUUCUGGGUCCCCUCAACAAUCAACUAAUAUUUAAAAUGGUUUAUAAAGACAGUCACGAUCUAGUCCCACACAAGUUUUGGUCUCCUAUGUCAUGAUUCCCAGUUCAUUUCCCAUGCUCUGGUUACAUUGUGUGAUACACCUGUGUUGAGAAGAUAAUGUAACCAGAUUGAGGCAUUGUUUGGAGGAGGAGGAGGGGGAGGAUGAUGAUGAUGAAGAAAAAGGACAAGGAGGAGGACAGGGAGGAGGGGGAGAAGUAAAGAGAAGAGGAGGAGAAGGAGAAGAAGGAGAAAAGCAACAAAGCCAAGGUAGGUGCAUACAUAUGGUGAAAACUAACUCCCUCUUUGCACCUUCCUCCUCUCUGCCCCACAGGUCAUUUUGAGUUACAACACUGUACCUUUGUAUACGCCAUCUCCUCUGCCUGUAAUAUAGAACUUCUCUUCCUUAACACAGAAAUAAAGCCUGGUUUUUAUUCUCCUCAUAACUACUUCAGGCAUUUUAAUAUUUCUCUUUUGGGGGGCUCCCAUAUAACUUAGCAUUUAUUGCACUGUGUGACAAUUACUUGUCUAAAGUUGAUCUUUUCCGCUUUAGUGUAAGCUUCUAGAGGUCAGAGGAACAAACUUAUUCACCUAUUUCUUUAUGGACCUAUUCAGUUCCCAGGAGUACAAUCUACCAGACACUUCAAUGAAGUUUUUAAUGAUUUUAUCUUUCUCCCGAUCAAGCCUGUAUGAGUUCAACUUUCCUCUCCCACUGGUCUCAAUAUUGUUCUUAUUUCCAUCUACAAUAGUUGUCAUAUGUCUUUAACAGAAAUAUUCAGUGUGCCUUAGCAAAUAAAAAUUAUUUAAACAUUGAUUAAUUUGCUGAAUGAUUAAUUCCACAAAUGCCAUAUAAAUAAUGAUGUUAACAUUUGUACUAGUCAUUAAACAUAUUCGAUAGUCAAUUUUUUCCUCUACUUUUUAUAUUUCAUUCUGUGGACAAACAUAAUUGAUGUCUUCUAUUUUCAAUUAUACACAAAAGCAGAUUUUAAUACAAAUUAAUAAUAUUCUACUUAUAUUUGCAAAUUUCAAAAUAUCUAAGACAUAUUUCCCACAUCUACUACAAAAUUAUUAAUUUCUUAAUCAUUUUAAUUGCAUACAUUAUGAUUGGAUGUGCUUGCAAAUACACCUUCCCCAUAUCAAAAUUAAAUAGAUUUCUUAUUAUCUGAUACUUUUUUCCAGAAACUAAAGUUUAAAGGGGGUGUGCUAUUUUAGGCCAAAUUUAAAGAUGUUUAAACUUGUGUAGUAUUCUCUCUUCUAGAACUGAUAUACUGUUUGAAAGAGAAAUAUUUACCAAUUUUUCACCUAAGCCUUUUCAUGAUAUAAUAUUAUGUUUUGUUGCUAUGUCAAAUACUAGGAUUUCACAAUGGAACUUUCUGAUUUUGCAAGGACAUUUCUCAACAAACCAUUUGACCUAGCAGAGAAGACUUAAUACACCUAUCACAAUAUGAAAGGAAUGGUAAAACGUAUUUUACAUUAACAUUGGUUAGACUUUAGGGAAAUAACUGAGAUUGCCUACAAAUGACUAAAAAAUAUAGCUCCUGACUAUAUUUUAGAUUGACUGUCAAUGACGAUAAACAUUAGUAUGGUUUCUCUUAAUUUUUUUUGGCCUUCAUCCUCCUACCCCAUCUAGUUUUCUAGCUGUAGAAAUUCUUUUUUUUUUUUUUUAAUGUCUAUUUAUUUUUGAGAGAGAGACAGAGUGUGAGCAGGGGAGGGCCAGAGAGAGAGGGAGACACAGAAUCUGAAGCAGGCUUCAGGCACAGAACUUGAUGAGGGGCUUGAACUCACAAGCUGUGAGAUCUUGACCUGAGCCGUAGUCAGAUGCUUAACUGACUAGCCAGGUGCCCCUAGACGUAGACAUUCUUGAAGUAAAUGAAUUCUUGGAAUAUAAAUAAUGUAUAAUAAAAUAUUAAUUUGUUCAUCUUAUAGUAAUGGAAUUUUCUGUAUCAAAAUAUUACUGAUAUCUUAGUUAAGAAGUCCUUUAAAUUUCAUUUCAAAGUUGAAACACCUUUUCAUAGCAAACACAUUAAAUUUUGAUUAUCCUAAAUAGCCCAAAAUACAUAGGGUGAAAAUUUCAAAAUCAGUUUUUUACUCACAUAAAAAGAUUACUUUAUGGACUCUCAAGGCAUAAAUGACAGUAUUUACAGAAAUCUGUAGCACAACAAUAAAUGUAUGAAAUAAAUUUAUUCUAUUUUAGUAUUAUAGAAGUUUAAAAACCAAACAAGAAUGUGGUAGAAUGACCUGCUAUUGUAAACUUUUACAACUUAUCAGAUUGCAAAAUAGGACAUUUUUAAGAGACCAUGUUGCAAAGAUGCCUAUGUUUUUUGCAUUUUACGAUGCUACUGGGUCUCUUAGGUGUUUGUUCUGGGCAUAAUUGGGAGAAUACAUUUCUUUUGACAGCAACUUGCACUUAAGUUUCAAAGAUAUAAAUAUAAUUUAAGAGACACAGGUUUACCUCAGGGUGCAGGAAGAAUACAAGUAUAAAUAAGAUUAAUAAUAUAAGCCAUUUAUAGAAGACAGGUAUAAAGAUUAAAAAGAAUAUUGUUUUAUGGUAACAUGGAAUGUGAGUAGAACAAUCAGGGUAAUUUUUUUUUAAAGGGGACUAUUUUUACAUUUAAAAUAUUAUGAAAAUUAUGUUUAAGCAAAUGAAAAACUUAUGAAUCAUAUGACUGAAGAGACUCUUACAUUUUAUACUUUAAUAAUAAUUUUACUUUAUAUGUGUAAUAUAAUGAUAUUUAAAAAGAAUAAAACCUUCCAGUUAUUGUAUUUUCUCAAAAUCCACCACAGUAUUACAUAAAAGUCUGUACUUACUUUAGAUUAUGUAUCUACUGUAUAGAAUAGUUUCUGUUAUACAAAUGUCUCCUAAGUUAAAGUCAAAAUUGUUAAUAAUUCUUGAGUCAGAUAAUCAGAUUUUAAUAUAUCUAAAUUAAGUUGAUAAUAAUUUCUCAAAAAUUAAAUUUGUUAUAUGACAUUUAGUAUUUUAUUGUGCAGUUAACAUAAAAUCAUUUCACAUUUGUUUUUAGACUAAUUAACUUUAAAAUUAAAGUGCAUUAUAAGUACAUUGUAUAAGUACAAUAUACACUUACACCAUAUAUUUACAAUGUCUUCAACUGAAAAAUGGGUUUGCUUAAACAAACCCACCUGCAUAUACAAUUCUACUUUUUAUUUUCAUUUUUCACUAACUCAUGAUUAAUAUAAAUAUAGGAUUAUAAAAUAGUCUCAUGACUUGAAUCAUGGGUGGGAAGGGGGUAGGGAGGGGUUAUACAUUGUUUUCUGCUUUUAAAUUGUUUAUUAGGUAACUUCUGAAACCUGAACUAUUCUCUUCUAUUUUAUGGUUUUGUUUCUUAAAGUGCUGACACAGUCAUUCUGUGAUAGCUGUAUGUUUAACAACCUUUUGUAGUUUAUUGAUCCUUGGAGGGAGACAUACAAAAGACACUAAUAAUUACUAUGGUUGAUUAUUCAGUUAAUAUGAGUAAAAUAUUUAUAAAUUUGUGACUGGUAUAAUUUGAAGUUUUAAUAAAUGAAACAGGAGAUUUUGAGCUACUUUGUCACAUUGCUUAAAUCAACCUCUUUCUGGUGCUUAGUAAUAAUGAAAGCAGAUGGGUCUCAUAUGAUACUCGAAUUAUUCUAAGAAAUAAACCUUUUUCAUUCAUGAGACUAUUCUUUCUUACAUUUUCUUAUAAAAAUAUUUAUAAACUAUGAUGAUAUGCUCAUGACCCUUUAAAAUUAAUAAGAGAGUAAUAACAAGUAAGAUAAUUUACAGAAGUCUGAAUAUUCUUACUAAUUGCAGAUGUAUAUUAAGGAAAAUCUAUAGAAAUUGGGAUUACUUUAGUAAAAAUUUAUUGAGUUAAUACUAAAUCUAAAAGUAAGAUCAUUGUAGUGUACACAGAGAAACAUAAAAGUGAUGUUUGCGUUACCUUCUUACUUUGAUGGAUAUAGGGAAUUUCUUGGAAUAAUUUCAGAUGUUAUAGAUUUUUAACUAACAAGGUGAAAGUAAUUCAUUUUUUUAACCUCAAGUCUUUAAACAUUAAUCAUAGCAUUUGCAAUUUUGUUUAUCCUCUGUAUUUUUAUUUCUUCACAAUAAUUAAAUGUUAAAUGUAAUAAUUAAAUGUUAGAAUCAAGGGUUACAUAUUGGCCAGUUCAGAAUUUUUUUUUUAAUAUUUCCUUAAAUUUUAUUUAUUUAUUUAUAUAUUUAUUUACUUACUUAUUUAUAUUUUUAUUUUAGAGAGACAGAUUAUAAGCAGGGGAGAGGGGCAGAGAGAGAGAGAGAGACACAGUCUUAAGCAGGCUCCUUGCUCGCACAAAGCCCAAGGCAGGCUCGAUCCCAUGACCGUGAGAUUGUGACCUGAGCUAAAAUCAAGAGUUGGACGCUCACCUGAUAGAGCCAUCAAGAUGCCCUCCAGUUGAGAAUUUUUAGUUGGCCCUGCCUAGGUAUCAUAUGACUUUAACUUUGUAAAAAGUUUGUUCUUUUAAUAGUUAAAAAUGGAAAAAAAUAUAUAGGUAAUAGGAGACAGAAUAUGAAGCCAAGAUAUGACCAUUAUUGGCAUUAAAGUUACAUCUUUUGCAUGUUAAGUAAUAAUAAGGAAAUAGACAAGUGCCUAUAGGAAUAUUUUGUUAAUAUUCACUGAGGUGGCAAGUUCUUAUAAAGAUUUGAUGAAGAUUUGGAUUGCCAGUAAAAACAUAUGCCUAGUUAAUGCUUAACUGUUAACACUGUAAAGUUUUAUCUCUCUGAUAUGCUAAAAAAAAUCAUUAAUAUUUAUUUUGUUUUUCCUGCAGUAUCUAAUCUAAUGCUGUCCACAAAAUAAUAGUUAAAGAAAUUAAAAAAAAUAUUUAGUUGAUCACAGAUCUAUAGGUACCAUUCAGUAGAGGAACAAAUCAGAAUAACUGGUAAAAUUAUCUAGUUAUCAGAGGCUAACAACAUUUUUAAAAAAUUUUUCUAAUGUUUAUUUAUUUUUGAGAGAGAGAGAGACAGAGACAGAGCAUGAGAGGUGGAGGGGCAGAGAGAGGAGACACAGAAUCUGAAGCAGGCUCCAGGCUCUGAGCUGUCAGCACAGAGCCUGAUGUGGGGCUCAAACUCAGAGUGCAAGAUCAUGACCUGAGCCAAAGUCAGAGGCUUAACUGAGUGAGCCACCCACGUGCCCCAGGAUAACAACAUUUUAGGAGCUCAGUUUUACCUAUGGGAUUCUCUCAUAUAUUCCAAUAAAGGACUAUUUGUGAUAUAUGUUAUUCUAUUGCUAUUUUAAAUAAUGGUUCUUUGGAUGUUUAGCUUUAAGAAGGAAAAUCACCUAGAGUAAAAUAAAAGAUUUUACUGUUAUUACAUAAAGAGAAUUAUAUUGACAGAAAACAUAAUAAUGUAUUCAUUCUUUAAUGAUUUUUUUAUCAUCAAUUUGUUUUCUUUAACUGUUACUUUCAUUUUUAUUUCAUUCAUUCAUUCAUUCAACUAUAAUUUUCUAAGCUCCAAACACAUACAAAGAUAUACAGUGGCAGACAAGACAGACAAGAUUCCUGUCCUCACAGAUCUUACCCUCCUGGGAUGAAACAGACCAUAAACAAGUGCAAAAUACGUAAGAUGAUGGAACAGAGGUCCAGAAAUGGGGUAUAAAAAAGGCAACAUAAGGUGUUCUAGGAAGGCCUCUUUGACAUGUUAACAUUUGAUCUAUAACUAAACAGCAAAUGAGGAGGGCCUGGGUGGCUCAGUCAGUUGAGCGUCCGACUUCGGCUCAGGUCGUGAGAACUUAGGCUCAGGUCAUGAUCUCACAGUUCGUGGGUUCGAGCCCCACAUCAGGCUCUUUGCCGACCGCUUGCUCAGAGCCUGGAGCCUGCUUCAGAUUCUGUGCCUCCUUCUCUCUCUGCCCCUCCCCCACUCAUGCUUUGUCUCACUCUGUUUCUCAAAAAUAAAUAAAUGUAAAUUAAAAAUAAAUAAAUAAAUAAACAGCAAAUAAGAACCACUCGAAUAUUUGGUGCAAGAACAGCAAUGGUAAAAACCCUUUGUCUAAAAUAAUAAAAAACAAAACUGAUUGAAAUACAGUACUUAAGAGACAAACUGUCUGAGGUAAAGUUGGAAUGAGAGGUCAGAACAUGUGGGACUGCUUUGUCAUGGUGAGGAAUUUGGACUUUAUUGCAAUGGCAAUGAGAAGCCACUGGAGAGUGUUAAGAUGUAACCUGGUUUCCUUUCUGAAAAGAUCACUCUGGCUGCUCUGUAGAGAAUACAUUAGAGAGUACUGAGGAAACCAAGAAUGAAAACAAGGGAAGGCAGGUUUCUUGCAUUAUUGUGCUUUAUAUCAGUACUUUAUAUUUAUAAAGUAAUAUAUAUUAUUCUUGGUAUAUUAUUCUUGGCAUGUUGCCUCUCUAUAUUAGAAAUCUAUAAUGAUAGUUUAAGCCAGAGCUGAGGACAAAAUACUGAAAUACAGGCCUCUCAACUUCUAGAUCAAACAGUGUCAUUUUCAUUAAUUGUCAUUUAUUAAAUGCUUAUCUCACUCGAUAAUCUUAUAAUCCUAGGAGGUAGGUGUCAUUAUCUCAAUUUUAAAGAACAGCCUCAAGAGGUAAAGCAAGUUGGUUCAGAGUUGGCAUGGGAAAUCUGAGUCUCUCAUACUCCAAAGCCCUGGAUAUAGUGGCCAUACCUCUAUUUAACUACUUUAAUAUACAAUGCAUUCCUUUGUAAUAUAUAUUUUAACCUUUAACUGAUUUCUAUUUUGUUCUAAAUAAGCUCAUCUUGACUUAUUUCAAUACUUUUCUUAUUCUGAAUUGUCUGUUAAAAGUCUAUUUUAAGGAAAGUACUUGGGGGCACCUGGCUGGUUCAGAGGAGCAUGUGACUCUUGAUCCUGGGGUCAUGAGUUCGAGCCCCACCAUGGUUGUAGAGAUUACUUAAAUAAAUAAAACUUUAAAAAAAUAAGGAAAGUGGGGCGCCUGGGUGGCUCAGUUUGUUAAGCGUCCGACUUCGGCUCAGGUCACGAUCUCGCGGUAUGUGAGUUCGAGCCCCUGACUGCUCAGAGCCUGGAGCCUGUUUCAGAUUCUGUGUCUCCCUCUCUCUCUGACCCUCUCCCAUUCAUGCUCUGUCUCUCUCUGUCUCAAAAAUAAAUAAACGUUAAAAAAAAUUAAAAAAAAAAUAAAAAAAUAAGGAAAGUACUUAGGUCCAAUUUUACACAUAGAAGAGUAAAGAAUAAUUCUGAAAGCAGAAGUCCACGGUUGAUCUGACUAGGGUUUGCGUUAGGACUUGUUUAGGCAUGCUGUAAUAUUAAUUUUGUGAAACUCUAGUUACAGUAUUAAAUAACUACUUUUAUCCAAACGAAUGCCGGUCACUACAUUAAAAAAAGAUAAUUAAAAUCUCAGCCGAGGAAAUGAACACAUACAUCGGAAUCCUGCCUACGUUCUUUCAUGUUCUAACAGUUAUUAUUUAACAUUUGGUUUGCUUAUGAAAGCCAUUAAAUCACGACAAACCUAUGUCCUGAAAAACUCACAUUUAGAAAGACCAUUACUUUAGGAAAAAAUAGGUUUUUUUCUUAGAUAAUAUUUUUCUAGAAACAUGAACUUACUUCUGCUUUUUUACGAGCUUCCAUAGCUUUCAUAAGCAUCAUAUGUUGUCGUCUUCUCUCCCGUUCCUAUUAGGCCAGAUAAAAUUAGGAAAAUAACUCUAGUUAAUGGUUUGAUUUUGAAAUGAAAAAACUAAACAAAACAAAACAAAACUCAGUAUAGCAUGUUUAGCAUUUAUAGACAAGUCACAGUAAAUACUAAAUAUAAGACAAGAAUGGCCAGUCUGUGCAUGUUUUAGUUCAGGUUUAGAAAGCAAAUACAAGAACAAUCAAAAGCAAAAAGGUAAAGCAAUGAACAUGGAGACAGUGUAAACAGAAGCAUACAAGAUUUACUUAUGGUCAGUUGUGAUGCUCCUUCAAAAGCUGGCAGAACAAAAAGCAUAAUGGUUGGCUGGAACAGGUCAGUUACCUUACAUCUGCUAUUAGAAAAGCCACAAAUAUGUACUAGAGGCCAAUUAAACUAAAGGUUGUAUUGUUCUUAGAUUUUUAGAUCAGGCAGAAAUUUAUAAUCACUUUCGCUUCAUGGUUUUAGAAUUAGUUAUUUUUAUUUCAAGUAUGCUAUCAUUUUGCAAAUUCAAUAAGCCACCGACAAAUUAGAGAGAGUUUUUUAAAGUUUUUAUACCAAUUUAGUUAAACUAGUCGUGGUUCAUAUACAAGCACCAAUGAAAUGGGGUAUUCCUGGUUACUGAUGUCUGCCACCUGAUGCGCUAGGUAAGACCAUAAAAGCUGCACCAUGGGCUAAUAAAUGGAAUCUAAAAGGCACAGUAUGAAAACAAGGUAAGCACUAGUUUUGUUUGAUAAUCUCAUUUUAUUUUAAAAUAAAAAAUCAGAUAGUUAUAUAUCUAAUCAUUUCUUUUUGUUUAAAAGUAUUUGGUCCCCCCAAAGGGAUGUUUCUAAAAUUAUUUCUAAAAUUUGUCUAUCAAACCAGAAUAUAUUUCAUAUUCUCUCAUCAACCUAACUCAAAAUUCCCAUUGUACUCAAUGGCAGUUUUGCAUCUAGAAUUGAUGGGAGAAUAUGGGUCAUUAUCACAUCUAAUUGUAUAGUAAUCCAACUUUCAUUGUGACAUCAGUAAUGUAAAUUUUUAGACAGCAGCCUUAUAUAAGGCUUGCACAAAUCAAUUAAAAAUCCUGGAGAUGUAUCAUACUUCUUUAUAGACAGACAAGCAGAUGUAUGCAAUGCACUGUGCUGUAAAGCCAUGCAGCAGUAUGUAAUAUGACAGCAGCCAGUGCUACACUUUAUGCAUUGCUAUGACAACCAUAUCACAACCAAAUCACAAUGCGGUGUUAGAUGUACAAAAAUAAACAUACCCAUACCAUAUCUAGUCUAUGCCUCUCCAACUCCUGGUAGAAAGAGUUGGCACAACAUUAUGAAACAGAAAUCACAGAGUCAUGAAACCAAUUUUUAACCCCCCAAAAGACACCAAUACCAAAGCAAGGCAAUAAACUGUAAGAUGAAGGAAAAACUUAAGCAGGAAUUAAAUUGGAAAUUUUUAAGAAACUAUUUUGAAGAUUGUCCCCAAAUCAGAUUUAAGAAAAAUCAUAAAAUGUACAUUUUGACAAUUGCAUAACUGUAUGUAUACAGACCUGAUGCUUCAGAAGAACGGCUUGUUGUCUUCUCAUUUCUUUUUCCUUAAAAAUAAGAAACUUUUAAUAUGCAAUUUUUAGGGAAGAUUUAGAACACAGUACAAAUAUUAAAAGUUUCUCUUCUGAGGUUCUAUAGUCCUCCCUUAGGUCAAACCAUAUGAAAUUGCAAAUAUUUAAUCGUUUUUUACUUAUAUGGUGGCAAUUUCAUAUGGUUCUACAUAAUACAGAAAGAUUAUAUGACAGUAGCAAGGAUAUUAUUCAGUAGCCAUUUAAACUUAAAAUACAAUAACCUAAUAGCACAUUUCAAUAGCACAUUCACUGAACUGAUUAGCUAGAUGGUCAGAUCAUAUAAGAUACAACUGGCACGUGGACUUUUAAAAUUACUUUAAUACAUUAUGUAGUGCAACUUUCAAAUCCAGCUGAUUAGAACUCUGUCCAUUCGGAACAUAAAUUCCCAAAUAAACUCUAUAAUUAAAAGCAUCUAUAUCAUUUCUAUACACUAUCUAUGAAUGAAAGUAACAAGAGACUAAGAGAUCAGUUUCAGAUUUUCAUGCUCAGCUAUAAUGCAGGGUACUACCCCAAGGGGGUCAGGCUUAAUGCAAACAAUUCUAUGAAUAUCAUCAAUUUAAAUAUUCUUAUAAAGGUAAAAAUCCACAUGAUAUUAAUAUCUUUUUUCUAAAGAAAAAAGUAACAGAGUCCAUGUAGAAAAGGUAACAAAUAGUUCCCUGGCUUUAUAAGAUAUAAUUGUGUCUGCUCCUGGAACCAGUAGGGCCUCAUUUCACUCAGCAGUCCUUUCAGUAAUCAAUUAUGAGAAAAAGUGGAAGGUGAGGGGUGGAAUGUGUAUGUUUGUAUGUGUGUCUUGGGGAGGGUUGUGGGGGGGGGGGACAGCGUUCAACUCUCUAAUGCCUCACAACAGAAAAUCAAAACCAAAACAUUAUAGUAAUUAACAAUGGCUAAUUUUAUUAUUGGUAAGUAACAGUUGCUAAAAUUAGAUUUUUAUUUCUGUAGGCUUCUCACUUUUUAAUAGUUAAAAUAGUUGCUGGAUAUUAACCAAGAUAAACUUGUAAUCUAAGUAGAGAAUCAGAUUUGGAACACAAUUUAAAACAUAAACAUCAACAACACAAAAUAGCUUUGGGAAGAUCAUUCUGAUUCAGCAAAACUAUAUACAGGUAUUAUGUAAUAGUUUGCAUUUCUGAUUUGAUGUUUGCUACUUAAGAGCUCAAAGCAUCACAUAAAACCUGUAUAAGGAAAUAAAAAAACAUAUACAUACAAUAUACAUACAAUAAAAGCACACAUUAUACACAUAUUGUAUCUGUGCUAAACAUUUUAAGAUAAUUAUUUUGAGGAGAGCUAUUAUUUUUGUAUAAUUAAUACUGGUGUAAUAGCGUAUAGUUUUUAUUUUUGAAAAAUAAAAACUCUGGUUCUCAUCUAAACUAACCUUUAUUCGUUUUUCGGCCUCCAAUAAUUUGGCAUUUGCUGCUUCUUCCUUCUUUUUCUUUUUAGCCUGUGCAUGCAAAACAGGUCUCAAAGUCAUGCAACAGCACCACUACAACUUGAAAAUAAUCUCAGACUUAAAAAUGGAGCUACAUGCCUCACAGGUACAAAACAAUAUGUAACAUAUAUGUAGACAAUUACAUACCCCCCACCAGUUAACAUUACAUUUAACAUACUAAUCUCAUUUUUAAUGUAUAAUUCGCAUUAAGAUAUACAAAAAGUUUUAAAAUGUAUAAAAGUAUGUCAGCUUUUCCUCUUCAAACUCUGUUAAAAGUCUGAAAUAACUAAGCAUUGAUGUUAUUUUAACUUAACACUUAAACACAGAAAAAACCAUUUUGUAGCAUGUAUUGUCUUUUUUAUAGUUUUUAAAAGUAAAACAUGAUUGCUGUAGAAAGUUUAGAAAAUGGGGUGGAUUUUAACUGAUAAAAAAAUUACUUAAUGAAUAAAUCAGUAACAUAAAAAUGCACAUGUCUGUCCACUUUAUUUGAAAUUUCUUCAACACUUGAAAUUUGAGAUAAAUCUGUUCCUCAGAUGAUUUAAAUGACACAUUAAAUCUCAUUUUCCCUAGCUGUGCAAUGUGGUUAAUUAAAGGUUUUUUUUUUUUAAAUAGGAUGGAAACAUAUUUCAUGAAACAUAUUUUGAUUAUUAAGAUUGUGCCAUCAAAUUUGAGCUUCACAAUCUUAAAGUCUUUAACUAUCUUGUAGUUUUAUAACUAUCCAGUAGUUAUUAUCAGUUUACUUUAAGAUAAGCAUAUUUACUGUUUGGGAGGUUUUAAAAUUAAUUUGAAGGCGGUAAGGAAAUAUCUGUAUAUUUCUGGAUGGAAAAAAACAAACAGAAAACCUCAAUUAUCUGGGGUCCUCAGAAUUGUUUUACAUAGCAAUAGUUUUCUGAAUAGCUGAGAGGUUAUAAUAAUUUUAAACAUUAAAAGUUUAUUUUUACACUUAUGGAUGAAAAUAAUUUUGAGACCUAUGCCUGUUUAGACAUAGUACCACUAAACAUAAUUUAGCUUUUUCUUGAUGACUCAGGACAAUUGUUCUGAACAUCAGUUAUUAUACUACACAGUUCAAUAGAGUAAUGUAUUUUGGCCAUUAAGGUGUUGAAAAUUGCUUGCUAUUCAACUAAAAAUUACAUGCUGUUGCUAGGUUUUUUAAUUCCUAUAUAUGCGGGUUGGAGUUUUUCUGCAUUUUUCCCUUGCUGUCUUUUGGCUAUUACUUCUGCUGUUGCCAACAUAUGUCUUUAGCCCUAUUCCAGUAGCUUCAGGGGAAGGAUAUAUUAGAAACCAGAAAAUCAAGCUAGUUAAACUGUUUCUACAUUUAAAAUUUACUUUUACUGGGGCGCCUGGGUGGCGCAGUCGGUUAAGCGUCCGACUUCAGCCAGGUCACGAUCUCGCAGUCCGGGAGUUCGAGCCCCGCGUCAGGCUCUGGGCUGAUGGCUCAGAGCCUGGAGCCUGUUUCCGAUUCUGUGUCUCCCUCUCUCUCUGCCCCUCCCCCGUUCAUGCUCUGUCUCUCUCUGUCCCAAAAAUAAAUAAACGUUGAAAAAAAAAAAUUAAAAAAAAAAUUUACUUUUGUAAUGUUUUAUUUCUAAAUUAAAAAUAAAUAUCUAACUAUAUGUUCUAAUGAGUUUUCUAAAAGUAAAGAAUAUGAGUUUUAGCACAUGAACUUUAUGACGACUAUAUUGUCUGCUCAGAGGUUUCCUCUUUAUUUUGUCUUAUUUUCUGGGUUUUUAUUAGACUAAUUAGGAUUAGAUUAGCUUGCUACUUAAAUAAGGUUCAGAUAAGAUCUUACUCUGCGUUACUUUUAAAGAGAAUUUCUGCUGAAUGUAUUAAUUUGUAUGAGUGAGAGAAUAUGUGGGUAAAAUUUUUAUUUUUGCAAACUUUAAGAUAUAUUAUAUCAAAUUUAAGAGCUCUACCUCUAGAAUUUGCUGGGCUCGAAGUUCUUUUUCCAUUCUGAUUUGUUGUAUUCUUUUAAUUUUUUCCUGUAGAAAAAGUUAUAAUUUAAGACAAUAAAUAUGUAGAUGAACACAUUUAAGCGGAAUGAAAUUAAUUUAAGGUAAGUACACAUUUACCAAAGGUUGCCCAUGCUGGAUCUAAAACUUAAUGAUUUAGCUUAGCAUCACAAAUAUAUAUAAUAUAUAUGUUCAUGUCUUAAUAGGAUUUUACAAAAUUUCUCAAAACAAUUUAUAAAAUACAAAUUCUAACUAAGUAUAUAGAAGCCAGGUAAACCAAGGUAAUUAAACUCAUUUAGCCUGUUUGCAAGCAUAAGUAAUACCUACUUUGAAAUAAAUAUAGGUCAGAAUGAUCAGAAAAAAUAAUACAUCAGGAAUCAGAAAACUUAAAGCUAGUUCUGAGUUACUGUCAUUCAUUACAUGAUCUUGAACAUAUAACUACUCUUGUAUAAAACAGGGAGAAGUGCUUACCCUUUACUCACUAUGUCAUGACACAAUUACAAUUCUUAAAAAAGUGUAUAGUGCUAUACAAUUGUAAUAGAUUAACAAUUUUUUCCAUACCAUAAUUUCUUAUUUCACAUAGUGAAUAACAUGAUAACAUCACAUUACAAUAAGCUAAAUUCAGAAGUAAUCUAACAUUAUUUUAAAAUGGGUCAACUAGGGGCGCCUGGGUGGCGCAGUCGGUUAAGCGUCCGACUUCAGCCAGGUCACGAUCUCGCGGUCCGUGAGUUCGAGCCCCGCGUCAGGCUCUGGGCUGAUGGCUCAGAGCCUGGAGCCUGUUUCCCAUUCUGUGUCUCCCUCUCUCUCUGGCCCUCCCCUGUUCAUGCUCUGUCUCUCUCUCUCUGUCCCAAAAAUAAAUAAACGUUGAAAAAAAAAAUUAAAAAAAAAAAAUAAAUAAAAUGGGUCAACUACAAUUUAACAUUGUAAGGAAUAAUUCACACAACAUACUAGGUAUUCACAUUGUAUAAAUUUAAUGUUCUAGUUAUUGUUUUAGAAUUCAGUGAUCAUGUAAAUUUUGAUAAGAAUUUUACAGCUGAUUUAAAAUGAUGCCAUAAGCUAUAAGCACAUUGUUAACAAUUUCAUGUUCACAAAUCCCUUUGAAAUUCCCAAAUUGGCCCUGAUAAGAAUACGUAGUUUAAAAAAACCCAAAAAAACAACAACAAAAAAAAACCCCACCAACCCCAAUUGUCCUGCUUGCAAAUUGCACUGUUCCUAGGAUUUCUAGAACCAACCCAUUUUACACUGCUUUCUAUUACAAUACCUACUCCAAUCUCUGGAUGCUAGUGUACCUUUUGAAGCUAUGCUUUAACAUGUUGUUUUUUUUUUUUAUUUUUUUUUUUCAACGUUUAUUUAUUUUUGGGACAGAGAGAGACAGAGCAUGAACGGGGGAGGGGCAGAGAGAGAGGGAGACACAGAAUCGGAAACAGGCUCCAGGCUCUGAGCCAUCAGCCCAGAGCCUGACGUGGGGCUCGAACUCACGGACCGCGAGAUCGUGACCUGGCUGAAGUCGGACGCUUAAGCGACUGCGCCACCCAGGCGCCCCUAACAUGUUGUUUUUUUAUUAAAUUUCUUUUUUUUUUAAAUUUUUAUUUAAUUUAUUUAUUUAACUUACGUCCAAGUUAGUUAGCAUAUAGUGCAACAAUGAUUUCAGGAAUAGAUUCCUUAAUGCACCUUACCCAUUUAGCCCAUCCCCCCUCCCACAACCCCUCCAGUAACCCUCAGUUUGUUCUCCAUAUUUAUGAGUCUCUUCUGUUUUGUCCCCUUCCCUGUUUUUAUAUUAUUUUUGUCACCCUUCCCUUAUGUUCACCUGUUUUGUCUCUUAAACCCCUCAAAUGAGUGAAGUCAUAUGAUUUUUGUCUUUCUCUGACUAAUUUCGCUUAGCAUAAUACCCUCUAGUUCCAUCCACAUAGUUGUGAAUGGCUGCUUUAACAUGUUUUUAAACUUACUCCUUUUUUUCCUCAUACUAAUGUUAUUGAUUCCCUGCAGGGCUCUCUACUGCAGGAAAAGGAGAUUUCUGAAAUUACUGUUCUGAUUUUAGAAGACUGAUCACAUUCCAUAAUUUUGUUUUUGGUGAUCCUACUUGGUAUUGAAUAUUAAUUAUAGCUUGCCAAACAUAAAAACCCAAGAGUAUCUUUUAUUUCAUUCAAGUCUUAGAGAAGGCUGUACUUGAUCCACACUUGAUAUAUUUAUUUAGUUUAGAACUUGAGACCUAAGUAAAGCACACUUUUGAUUUAAUUUUCCUGCUCUUGUUAAUCAUAAGGUUAUAAAAUGGUAUAUUCUCAAGUCAGCAAAAGUGAUUUAUUAUUUUCUUAGGCACAGAGAUAGGUAUGGAAUCUUGGGCUUAAGUUCAACUCAGAGCUUUAUCUUAGCUGUCCAAGUGAUUCAUAUAUAUGUACAUAUAUUUGGUAGUGCUGUCAUUAGCAUUAGCAGAGAUAAACCUUGUUUAUAAAUUAUUAUAAUAUAAGUUCACCUUAUAAUAUUGAGUACCCAAUCACUGAACUGGGCACUUUACUUAAAAUAUCUUAAUGAUCAUUAAAAAAAAAAACACAUGGGGCGCCUGGGUGGCUCAGUCGGUUGGGCGUCCGACUUUGGCUCAGGUCAUGAUCUCGCGAUCCGUGAGUUUGAGCCCCGCAUCAGGCUCUGUGCUGACAGCUCAGAGCCUGGAGCCUGUUUCGGAUUCUGUGUCUCCCUCUCUCUGACCCUCCCCCAUUCAUGCUCUGUCUCUCUGUCUCAAAAAUGAAUAAACGUUAAAAAAAAUUUUUUUUUAAAACACAAAAACAAACAAAAAACAACAGGGGCCCCUGGGUGACUUGGUCAGUUAAGCAUCUGACUUCCGCUCAGGUCAUGAUCUCACGGUUCAUGGGUUCGAGCCCCACAUUGGGCUCUGGGCUGACAACUCAGAGUCUGGAUCCUGAUUCGAAUUAUUUGUCACCCUCUCUCUCUCUGUCUUUCAAAAAUAAAUAAAUGUAAAAAUAUUUUAAAAAAACAAAAACAAAAACACAGGAGUUGCGGUUAUCUUUUUUUUUUUUUUAACCUAAGAGAAAAUUGAAAUUGUUGGAGGGUAAAUAUUUUGCCUAACAUCAAAUACUAAAUAUAGAGACCUGGUUAGAUUCCAAUGCUUUUGCUCCUUCUGCUUCAUAAUAAUGCUUCUGCAAGUCUCUUGAAAAUUGCCUUGAGGACUAUAUGCUGAUAUAUUGGGGCCUACUAGGUGGAAUAAAGAAUCCAGACGAUAAGAAGCAUGUGAUACCAUUUAAUCCUAGAUCUUAUGCUGACUUUAAAAUAGGCAUUGUGACUAUGUGAGUAAACCCAUGCUAGACUUUGAUUCACUUUGUUGGCAACAACGAAUAAGUCAAGUGGUAUUAAAAGACUAGCCUCAGACAAAUAUCUUGAUGAAUAUCUAAGGUUAGUUCAUUUGUAUUCAUGUUGCUGGAACCUUGGGACCCCAAUGCUUUUUUGAUGAGCAGCAAAAACUAUGUAGGCUUAAGGUGUAGCCACUUUAAGAGCUUAGGAACACAAAACUGAACUUCAGAGGCUGAUGAAAUCUGGUGCGUCUCUAGGCAUUAGGAAAUAGGAUAAGCUGUAAAAAAUUAGUAUUUCACUUAAAAUAAAAUAUAGACUAUUUUUACAUAUACAUGGAAUAUAUAAUAAAUAUUUAUGUUAUUUUGAUAAAUAUAUAUACAGUGCCUUUAGCAGUCACAAUCAACAAACUAAGGAAUGAAUCUGAGUUUACAAUUGACCACAUUAAAUUACAGUGAGGAGUAUACCAUAUAGUUUGGUGUUUAAUAUCUGUCUCUUAAAAAGUGAACAUCUGUUUGUGCCAGGCAUUGUGGUAUAUACGCUACAUUCCAAGAUCUCGUUUAAUCAUUAGAUAAUGAGGUUAUUUCCUUUUACCAUGGAGGAAAUAGAGACAAAGAGGAUAAUUCAUCUAAGAUGACAAAAAUAUUAUGCAGCAGAGCCCAUAUUCAACUCUUGGCUGCCUGACUACAGACUAAGUUCUGACUCCCCAUUCCACAUCAACUGUCUCUAAUCCCACAUCACAUCCAACCCAAGCCAUUUAUUUAGCAGCCAUUUAUAUAAUAACACAAUUUACUUCAUUUCAUACUCAGAAAAAACUACUUGCUGUUCAAAAUAUUAAAUGAAUAGUAGUUCCCUCAUUUCCUUUCUGCUUUAAUGAUUAUACGAAUACAUGGAGAUGGGAGAGUAGCUCACAUCCUCACAUCUUAAAUGCUCAAUAUCUUGUCAUGCCAUUGCAUGAAUUCUUAAUUCACUUAUAAAAAUUUAAAAAUCAUUUCACCUACCUGUACUUAAUUUUGAAAACUACAUAGGGGAGAGAGAUUAUAGAUAGAAGAUAGAAUGUUGGAUAUGUUGAAAUAGUGCAUUCUUGGUUCUGUUUUUUUUGUUUUGUUUUGUUUUUGUUUUUGUUUUUUUUUGCAGUAAGAAUACUUAAGCAUUCAGAAGCAGUGGAGACAAACCUUAUUCUAUAAACUUGAAUUUAACUUUCUAUGUAUAUUUUAUGUAUUUCAGAAGAAGAAGCUUCUCUUACUAAAAUCUAAACAUUUAAGCAAUAGCCUUCAUUUAUUGAUAAUUAAUUUUAAAAGUUUGAAACCUGUUCAGAUGUCAACCUAUAUUCAAAGUCUAUCAGGAUAUUAAAAAUACUUACACAAAUCUA
This 24781-nucleotide long non-coding RNA is filed under the name Lynx pardinus (Iberian lynx). The stretch from base 13245 to 13350 matches the Rfam family "tRNA". The record is from RNAcentral. Lineage: Eukaryota; Metazoa; Chordata; Mammalia; Carnivora; Felidae.